AGGAACUUGAUAAUAGCUAAGCUAUACCAAAGAGCUCUCUACUUUGUUCCAAUCAGGACCUCUACCUUGUCUGGAGCUGUGUUAUGGAGUCAGUAAGUACUGAGUUUGAUCCUUAAUCUUUUUUACCCUAUCACUAUAGCAA
RNAcentral lists this long non-coding RNA (142 nucleotides) under Ictidomys tridecemlineatus (thirteen-lined ground squirrel). RNAcentral's name for it is "lncRNA (ENSSTOG00000031945.1)". The record is from RNAcentral. Lineage: Eukaryota; Metazoa; Chordata; Mammalia; Rodentia; Sciuridae.